UCCCAAGUCCCAACCACUCCAAUCCUCGACAAGGUGAACCGGAGUGCGGAUGGAGGUGGCUGUCGGCGCGGCGAGCUCGCUCCUUGGCAAGUUGCUCACGAAGCUGUCUGAAGACCUGGUGGCCGCGUAUGUCCACAGCCUUGAGCUCGGCCACAACUCCCAGCAGAUCAAAACAAAACUGUUGCACACACAAGGGCUGCUGCAAGUGGCCGAGGGGAGGGACGUGAGCAACGUCACCGCCCUGCAGGCCUUGUUGGAGGAGCUGAGCAAGAAGGCCGACGAGGCGGAGGACUCGCUGGAUGAGCUCCACUACUUCAAGAUCCAGGACCAGCUCGACGGCACCAACUAUGCGGCGCCGGAUCUCGGCGAUAGCCUCCGCGGCCAUGCUCGCCAUGGUGGCCAUGCUGCUCGCCACACCAUCGGUAACUGGUUCCCAUGCUCUUCUUGCUCGCGUGCGCAAGAUGAUGAUUCUGCUCCUACUGCUGUUGCCAAUAGCCCACACCACUAUGCAACCAACUCUGUUACUGCUAGUGCUGAUGAUGAUGGCGAUGUCGAUAAGUUACAUUUCGACAGAGUCACCAUGUCCAGAAAAAUUAAGUCAGUGAUAAAUGACAUACACUCUUUGUGUGAUCCCAUCUCUGAUUUGCUCAACAAAGUUCCAAGCAGCAGCACAGCCGUCACCCUAAAACGGCCACACGUAGGGUCCACAAUUAUACAAGAUACACUGCACGGGAGGAGAGACAUUUUUGAGAAAAUUGUCAAUGAUAUCACAAGUGGCACACAUCACAGUCAAACUGUUUCUGUUCUUCCUAUAGUUGGCCCGGGGGGUAUUGGAAAGACAACUUUCACCCAACACCUGUAUAAUGAUGGUAGGACUGAAGAGCACUUUGCUGUUAUGGUUUGGGUGUGUGUAUCAACUGAUUUUGAUGUGUUGAAACUCACCCAACAGAUUCUUAACUGCAUACCUGCAACUGACAAUGAAAUUGCAAUUGAAACAACCAAUCUAGACAGACUUCAAAAAUCCAUUGCGCAGAGACUGAAGACCAAAAGGUUCUUAAUUGUCUUGGAUGAUAUAUGGAAAUGCGAUAGUGAGGAUGAGUGGAAAACCUUGCUAGCUCCAUUCACAAAAGGGGACGCCAAAGGCAGCAUGAUACUUGUCACAACUCGAUUCCCAAAACUAGCAAGAAUGAUGAAAACAGUUGAUUCAGUAGAACUGCAAGGCUUGGAGUCUAAUGACUUCUUCACAUUCUUUGAAGCAUGUAUAUUUGGUGAACAUAAGCCCAGGGAUUAUGAAGAUGACUUAGCUUGUAUUGCAAGAGAAAUUGCAAGCAAGUUAAAGGGCUUCCCACUAGCAGCCAAAACAGUUGGUCGACUAUUGAAGAAAAAUCUUUCCCGGGAACAUUGGAAUGGAGUUCUUCACAAUCAUGAGUGGCGAAACCAGAAAAAUGAUAAUGAUAUUAUACCAUCUUUGAAAAUUAGCUACGACUACCUCCCUUUCGAUCUGAAAAAAUGCUUCUCAUAUUUUUCCCUUUAUCCUGAAGAUUUUAGGUUUAGCACUUCAGGAAUUAAUCGUUUUUGGAUUGCAAUAGGCAUCAUAGACUCUAGCCACCGAAGCGAUAAGAAUUACAUGGAAGAUCUAAUGGAAAAUGGUUUUCUCAUGAAGGAGGUUUCUAAAUAUCCUCCUUUUCAUGAAUACUAUGUAAUGCAUGAUUUAAUGCAUGUGCUAUCUCGGAUUGUCUCUGCACAAGAAUGCCUCAAUAUAAGUGAUCUAGAUGUUAGAGCUGAGGCUAUCCCACAAUCUAUUCGGCACCUAUCCAUCACCAUAGAGAAUAGAUAUGAUGAAAAACUUAGGGAAGAAAUGGGUAAACUAAAAGGAAGGAUAGACAUUGUAAAUCUACGGACAUUGAUGAUUUUUAGAGAAUAUGAAGAAAGAAUCGUUGAGAUCUUAAAAGAUACGUUUAAAGAAACAAAAGGCCUGCGCAUCCUAGUUAUAGCAGUGAAGUCCCUUGAAUCUCUGCCACGAAGCUUUUCAAAACUUAUCCACCUUCAUACCUGCAAAUUCGAUCACCCAAUGUCACAGAAAUGACUUUACCUAGCACACUAUCCAGAUUUUAUCACUUGAAAUUCUUGGACCUAAGUAGUUGGUACGGUAGUUCUAAUUUGCCUAAGGUCAUUAGCCACCUUGUGAAUUUACGCGAUUUUCUUGCUAAGAAAGAACUCCACUCCAAUGUUCCUGAGGUUGGAAAGAUGAAGCAUCUACAUGAGCUGAAAGAAUUCCAUGUUAAGAAAGAAAGUGUUGGAUUUGAUUUAAGAGAGUUGGGGGAAUUGAGAGAGCUUGGGGGAGCACUCAGUAUACAUAAUCUUGAAAAUGUGGCAUCCAAGGAAGAAGCUAGUGGCGCCAAAUUGGUGUUGAAAAGGGAUUUGAAAGAGUUGACAUUAGUUUGGGGCAGAGCGCAACCAACUGAUAUAGAUGCUGAUAUUCUUGAUGCUCUUCAACCACACUCUAACCUUACAACACUUGGCAUCAUGAAUCAUGGUGGUACCACUUGUCCUAGUUGGUUGUAUCCUGAGAUACGGGUGGACAAUUUGGAGACUCUCCAUUUGCACGGCGUGUCUUGGGGAACCCUUCCACCUUUUGGCCACCUGCCAUAUCUCAGGGAACUCAGCUUGAAGAGCAUUUCUGGACUGUGUCAGUUUGGUCCUAACUAUGGUGGUGUUACAGGCAAAUGUCUUAUGCAGUUGAAGAAAGUAUUGUUUCAUGACUUGUCAGAUCUUGUCGAGUGGGUUGUGGAGCCUAAUUGCCGUAUGUUUCCAAGUCUUGAAAGCAUCGAUUGCAGCAAUUGUCCCAAUCUAUGUGUGAUGCCCUUCUCGGAGUGCUCUUGUGCCAGUUUGUGCAGGCUUCGCAUUAAUGGUUGCCCCAAGUUGUCUCUGCCCACCAUGCCUCACACCUCCACACUAACAAAUUUUGCUGUUAACAAGGGUUCAGAAAAGUUGUCUUACCAUGGAAAAGAAUUUGUUGUUAGCAAGUAUUCUGGUGCCUUGGCCUUCCACAAUGUGGGUGAAGUAGAUGAUAUGCAAAUUGGAGAUGUAUCACACAUUUCGUGGACAGACCUUGAAAAGUUUAAAUCCUUGAGAAAACUAGAUGUCAGAAGAUGCGACAGCAUGUUCUUUGGAGAACUGGAUGGCAGUCUUGUCUUCCACAACAUGGAUAAAGUUGAGAGUCUCAGUGUAGAUGUUUCUCAUUUUACCGGAAAAUUCUUGUCAAAAGUCUUCAAUAGUUCCCCAGCUCUUGCUGAACUGGAGAUAUAUGGCAGUGAAGACGAUGAGGAACAAGCAAUACAGUUCCCAUCAUCUAGCUCACUGCGGACACUUAGCUUCGGGUGCUCGAAUGGCCUGGUUCUUCUGCCUGCGGAGGAUGGAGGAGGACUCCAUGACAGCACGUCGCUCCAGUCAUUAGAAAUAUUUGAAUGCGGCAAGUUGUUGUCUCGGUGGCCCAUGGGAGAAGCAGGAGGAGCUCUGAUGACCAAUCCUCUCCCUGCUUCCCUCAGGAAACUAAAUAUUAUCGGAGAGUCAAGCAUGUCGUCAAUGGCUUUGAUCUCAAACCUCACGUCUCUCACCCAUCUAAGGCUAGUAGGCUAUCAGAAUUUAACAAUGGAUGGGUUUAAUCCUCUCAUCGCAGUCAACCUCAAGGAAUUGGAGGUCUUUAACUGGAACGGCAACUCUCUAGCAGCAGAUCUUCUCUCAGAGGUAGCAAGGACCAAAUUAAUGGAUGCGGGUUCCUUCCAGUUGGAGAAACUGAAUGUGGAUAGCAUCUCGGCGGUUCUUGUUGCCCCCAUUUGCAACCACCUCUCCGCCACCCUCCACGUAUUGCAAUUCUAUGUUGAUAAGCGGGCAAAAGGCUUCACGGAAGAGCAAGAGAAUGCACUUCAGCUCCUCACCUCCCUCGAGAAACUAGAAUUUUAUCGCUGCACGGUUCUGCAGUCCCUCCCUCAAGGAUUACAUCGCCUUUCUUCUCUCAAAGAAUUAGUAAUCCUCAGUUGUCCCAAACUCCGAUGGCUGCCAGAGCAGGGCUUCCCCACUUCGCUGCAAGCUCUACAUCUAUGAUUUAUAUGAUUUCAUUCACAUUCCAUUCAUGACUUCUGUAUCUCUGUAUCUACACAUACAGCUGCCCUAUAAUCUAUUCUUAUGCGGCUUCCUUUUUUCUAACCAGAACUGUUAAAUUUCUUAUGCAGGAAGCGUGGUAGCUUUUGUUCCGCACAUACUUCUGAAAUGAUGUAUUACACCUUUCAUGUGCCAGCUGCAUGGUAAAUACAAAGACUAAGGCGACAGCUGAUCGAUGGACCUAUAGAUGAAUGUAUCUAUUUUUAUUUACCUUUUUUUAACAUAAUCUCAUCAGGACAGGAAGCAGGCUUGUGAAUAAUUGGUCCUUUUUUUUCAAUAAAUCAGAUCGAUUCUGCAAAUUUGCCUCUAGUUCUGCUUUUAAUUUGAAUUAUUGAUCCUGUGUGCUUGCCAAUUUUGAUUGAAAACUGUCAGGUAUCAACAAAAUGAAGAAACUCGUUUUUUUUCAAGUAAGCGGCAAUACGAAGUGAAGGUGUAGGAUCUGGUUUUAUUUCUCAUUUCCCUCUGAAUGAUCAAGUGUAUGAGCUUUCUGAAGCUUAGAAUGACAUCACAUUCCAGUGUCCAGCCUGCUGAUACUUUGCCACGAUAAUUCGGGACAAUCAAUGAGAAAUUUGAAGAUGCUCCUAAACUAUUCUGGGCUGUUGCAGAGAAAUUUUAAGAUGCUCCUCAACUAUUCUAGACUGUUCAUUCCUUUUGAUCCAACAGUUUAGAUUGAACAUGGUGAUCUACUACCUAUACUAGGAGAAACAUUGCUGGUUAUUUAUAAAGCGGGGCGAAAGCCUUUUUCGGUUUAUGUUCCGACAAGUACUGAUGCUGUGGUAACCAACUUCCAUCUUGGGUUGAUUGCAUAUGAGCUGACGUUUCACCGGCAUCCUUCACAGUUUUAGAACGAUUACAACCAACUGUGAGUUUCACAGUUGGCAUUCAGGACAUAGCUCCUCUAUCUGAAUGGUAACAGUAAAUGCAACAUUUAUCCUGAUAUUCUGAGUGAGUCAAGCCUCCGAGUCCUGCAGUGACCAUUUAAAAGAAAAAAGCAAGGCAAAUACGUCUAUAAAUUCCCUUGCCCCCAGAGUCCACACUGUGUGUGAGCUCUCAGCAUUUGGGUACGCCCUUACUAGAGCUCAAAAUUGACGAUGUGCCAGCGUCAGAAGUGGUGUUCCUCGCAAAUUUGCUCCCAUUUGAUGAACCCAUACCCUGAGCGUGUUUUCAAGUUCAGCUUCCGGGCGAAGGUGUGACACCAAGAUGAAAUGUUGCUACUCCGCAUCGAGCGCCCACCACAUUCAGUUUGUUGCCGGAACUAAGCCUGAGCCUGAGCCGAUCUGGUGUGUUAUGCAAGUUCAAUGCAAGCAGCCCCAGGGAAUUACUUACCGCUGCAAAGACUCGGCAAGUUUGCUCCAUCCACGGCUUGAUGGUUCUCACGAAUUAAUCGUUUAAGUUGUUCUCACGCCUAACUGCUAUGUGUGCCUCUAGUAUAAGUAUGAAGUAUCCCCACAACAAGUGCCAUGUGAAGGCGAAUGAGAAUUCCGAGUUUGAGUUUGUACGCAGUCGGUUGGAUUGUGUGUGCUGUUUUGUGUUGUGUUGUGCUGCGAGCACCAGAUCCCGUUGAGUGUUGGCUGUUAUGUGUGGAUCGUAAGGGUUUGUCCUUAAUCCAUAUGGGAUUCUUUUGGUUC
Molecule: RNA transcript, 5789 nt
Organism: Triticum aestivum (bread wheat)
Lineage: Eukaryota; Viridiplantae; Streptophyta; Magnoliopsida; Poales; Poaceae
Gene name: putative disease resistance protein RGA3
Exons: 9
Source: RefSeq, a predicted model, not a curated record